AUUGAACGCUGGCGGCAGGCCUAACACAUGCAAGUCGAGCGGAUGAAGGGAGCUUGCUCCUGGAUUCAGCGGCGGACGGGUGAGUAAUGCCUAGGAAUCUGCCUGGUAGUGGGGGAUAACGUCCGGAAACGGGCGCUAAUACCGCAUACGUCCUGCGGGAGAAAGUGGGGGAUCUUCGGACCUCACGCUAUCAGAUGAGCCUAGGUCGGAUUAGCUAGUUGGUGGGGUAAAGGCCUACCAAGGCGACGAUCCGUAACUGGCCUGAGAGGAUGAUCAGUCACACGGGAACUGAGACACGGUCAAGACUACUAAGGGAGGCAGCAGUGGGGAAUAUUAGACAAUGGGCGAAAGCCUGAUACAGCCAGGCCGCGUGUGUGAAGAAGGUCUUCGGAGUGUAAAGCACUUUAAGUUGGGGGGAAGGGCAGUAAGUUAAUACCUUGCUGUUUUGACGUUACCAACAGAAUAAGCACCGGCUAACUUCGUG
Molecule: ribosomal RNA, 484 nt
Filed under: uncultured bacterium
Lineage: Bacteria
Description: partial 16S ribosomal RNA
Rfam family: Bacterial small subunit ribosomal RNA
Source: RNAcentral